CCCCUCUCAAAGUCACACCUGGGGAGUUUCCAGUACUCUACCAGUCUUGACUAUGUGAGGGAGAGUCAAGCAGAAGCAUAUCCCUUCCGUUUCUAGCUUGGCCAGUGGCUAGCGAGUGGAGGGCAAUCUGCUACAAGU
Tachyglossus aculeatus (Australian echidna) is the source of this 138-nucleotide small nucleolar RNA. The record is from RefSeq and is a predicted model, not a curated record. Lineage: Eukaryota; Metazoa; Chordata; Mammalia; Monotremata; Tachyglossidae.